This 253-nucleotide ribosomal RNA is filed under the name uncultured bacterium. RNAcentral describes it as "partial 16S ribosomal RNA". It matches the Rfam family "Bacterial small subunit ribosomal RNA", at positions 524 to 776 of the family's 1533-position model. The record is from RNAcentral.
UACGUAGGUGGCAAGCGUUGUUCGGAAUUACUGGGCGUAAAGGGCGCGUAGGUGGCCUGUUAAGUCGAACGUGAAAUCCCCGGGCUCAACCCGGGAACUGCGUCCGAGACUGGCAGGCUCGAAUCCGGGAGAGGGAUGUGGAAUUCCAGGUGUAGCGGUGAAAUGCGUAGAUAUCUGGAGGAACACCGGUGGCGAAGGCGGCAUCCUGGACCGACACUGACGCUGAGGCGCGAAAGCUAGGGGAGCAAACGGG